Molecule: ribosomal RNA, 515 nt
Filed under: uncultured bacterium
Lineage: Bacteria
Description: partial 16S ribosomal RNA
Rfam family: Bacterial small subunit ribosomal RNA
Source: RNAcentral
GAUGAACGCUGGCGGCGUGCCUAAUACAUGCAAGUCGAGCGAAUGGAUUAAGAGCUUGCUCUUAUGAAGUUAGCGGCGGACGGGUGAGUAACACGUGGGUAACCUGCCCAUAAGACUGGGAUAACUACGGGAAACCGGGGCUAAUACCGGAUAACAUUUUGAACGGCAUGUAUCGAAAUUGAAAGGAGGCUCCGGCUGUCACUUAUGGAUGGACGCGCGUCGCAUUAGCUAGUUGGUGAGGUAACGGCUCACCAAGGCAACGAUGCGUAGCCGACCUGAGAGGGUGAUCGGCCACACUGGGACUGAGACACGGCCCAGACUCCUACGGGAGGCAGCAGUAGGGAAUCUUCCGCAAUGGACGAAAGUCUGACGGAGCAACGCCGCGUGAGUGAUGAAGGCUUUCGGGUCGUAAAACUCUGUUGUUAGGGAAGAACAAGUGCUAGUUGAAUAAGCUGGCACCUUGACGGUACCUAACCAGAAAGCCACGGCUAACUACGUGCCAGCCGCCGCAGUAA